CCUACGGGAGGCUGCAGUGGGGAAUAUUGCUCAAUGGGCGAAAGCCUGACGCAGCGACGCCGCGUGAGGGAUGAAGGUCUUCGGAUCGUAAACCUCUGUCAGCAGGGAAGAACGGUCACUGUGCUAAUCAGCAGUGAAUUGACGGUACCUGCAAAGGAAGCACCGGCUAACUCCGUGCCAGCAGCCGCGGUAAUACGGAGGGUGCGAGCGUUAAUCGGAAUUACUGGGCGUAAAGCGCUCGUAGGCGGUAUGUCAAGUCAAGGGUGAAAUCCCCGAGCUCAACGUGGGAACUGCCUUUGAAACUGGCAAACUGGAGUGUGUGAGAGGAUAGUGGAAUUCCAGGUGUAGGAGUGAAAUGCGUAGAUAUCUGGAGGAACAUCAGUGGCGAAGGCGACUAUCUGGCACAUAACUGACGCUGAGGAGCGAAAGCGUGGGUAGCAAACAGGAUUAGAUACCCGGGUAGUC
Molecule: ribosomal RNA, 465 nt
Filed under: uncultured bacterium
Lineage: Bacteria
Description: partial 16S ribosomal RNA
Rfam family: Bacterial small subunit ribosomal RNA
Source: RNAcentral